This 74-nucleotide transfer RNA is filed under the name Nanobdellota archaeon. RNAcentral describes it as "tRNA-Arg". It matches the Rfam family "tRNA". From Rfam's summary of the family: Transfer RNA (tRNA) molecules are approximately 80 nucleotides in length. Their secondary structure includes four short double-helical elements and three loops (D, anti-codon, and T loops). Lineage: Archaea; Nanobdellati; Nanobdellota. The record is from RNAcentral.
GGGCCUAUAGCAUAACCUGGAUAGUGCGGCCGGCUUCGGACCGGCUGAUUUGGGUUCGAAUCCCAAUAGGCUCA